This is a long non-coding RNA of Peromyscus eremicus (cactus mouse), 827 nucleotides long. RefSeq lists it as uncharacterized. NCBI's taxonomy places the organism in Eukaryota, Metazoa, Chordata, Mammalia, Rodentia, Cricetidae. The transcript is spliced from 3 exons. The record is from RefSeq and is a predicted model, not a curated record.
UUCAGGUGUUUUGGUUGUUCACGCCGCCAAAAACCAAAGCUUCCUGGCCGGUUCCGACGUGUGCUGCGAAGUAUUUGUGCACACCUCUGUCUAUUUUCCUGUAGGAAAAAUGAGGAUGACAGGAUUCAGGAAGACGGCCCCAUAUUUGAUCCACGGAGCCCAACCUAUAUGCAAGACGUUAUCAAUCAUAUACCAAAAGCCUAUAAGGAUGGGAAUUACCUAUUUAUAGGUAUAAUAUUGACUAUCUACCAUAGGUUUGUGACCACCUGGGAGAUGCUGGACUUAAUUAUGGACACGUAUGGACCUUUGCAGCCAGACUGUAUGGAGGAUCAGGAAAAAAGGAAGUGAGUUGGCUUGGGUGACGAGGGAGGUAAGAGCCCCUCUACACAGUGGGAUGUCUGGGGUGGCUAGGGUUGAGGACUGAGCUGUUACCAGUCACCCUGCUCUUGGGAUUCCCACUAGAGGGAUGGUACCAGAGACUUCACGUGCAGGUGGAGAAAAACAGAAAUAAAUCUCCAUUGAUCUCCUUGGUCCUGAGGAGCACAGGGAUUGACGGAAGCUAAAGGGCCCUAGGGGAAACCAUCCCCACUACAGCCCAGCCCAGUCUGCCCAGUCCCUCCUCCAAGGGACAGAAAGUGUCUCGAGCCCUGUCCAUACAGCUCUACACUCCUGACCACCAUGCCCAGCAGCACAUGGGCUGGGCAGCCUUUUCCUCAUCUAAGGGACACUGCUGUGCUGGUGAAGUGAGGCCAGGCUUCUGACUCUACUUCCCUCCAACCUGGUCCUCCCUGCAGUGCCUUGUUAUCCUUCCUAUCGAUAUGGACGUC